RNAcentral lists this non-coding RNA (23 nucleotides) under Cricetulus griseus (Chinese hamster). Lineage: Eukaryota; Metazoa; Chordata; Mammalia; Rodentia; Cricetidae. The record is from RNAcentral.
UAUACAUUAAUGUAUUAUGGACU